GAUGAACGCUGGCGGCGUUCCUAAUACAUGCAAGUCGAGCGAACUUUUGGGAGCUUGCUCCCAAAAGUUAGUGGCGGACGGGUGAGUAACACGUGGGUCACCUGCCUGUAAGACUGGUAUAACUUCGGGAAACCGUAGCUAAUACCGGAUAACAUUGAAUACCACAUGGCCUUCAAUUAAAAGGUGGCUUUUAGCUACCACUUACAGAUGGACCCGCGGCGCAUUAGCUAGUUGGUGAGGUAACGGCUCACCAAGGCGACGAUGCGUAGCCGACCUGAGAGGGUGAUCGUCCAUACUGGGACGGAGACACGGCCCAGACACCCUCGGGAGGUACAAGAAGGGAUUCUGAUGUGAUGGACGGCCGUCAGACGGAGCAAGGCUGCGUGAGGUAAGAUGGCAUUAGGGUCGUAAAUGUCAGGUUAAAGAUAUGAACUAGGAGCGUACGAAGAGGGCGAUACCUGGAAGGGACCUAAGCAGAAAGCCAAGGCUAACUACAUG
This 498-nucleotide ribosomal RNA is filed under the name uncultured bacterium. RNAcentral describes it as "partial 16S ribosomal RNA". It matches the Rfam family "Bacterial small subunit ribosomal RNA", at positions 28 to 507 of the family's 1533-position model. The record is from RNAcentral.